GACGAACUGUCCUAACGUUGUUCGGAAUCACUGGGCUUAAAGGGUGCGUAGGCGGCGCUGCAAGUGCCUUGUGAAAUCCCAUCGCUUAACGAUGGAACUGCUCGGUAGACUGCAGUGCUUGAGGUUGGUAGGGGCUGCCGGAACUCUAGGUGGAGCGGUGAAAUGCGUAGAUAUCUAGAGGAACGCCCAAGGCGAAGGCAGGCAGCUGGGCCAAUUCUGACGCUGAGGCACGAAAGCGUGGGGAGCAAACGGG
RNAcentral lists this ribosomal RNA (253 nucleotides) under uncultured bacterium. RNAcentral describes it as "partial 16S ribosomal RNA". It matches the Rfam family "Bacterial small subunit ribosomal RNA", at positions 524 to 776 of the family's 1533-position model. The record is from RNAcentral.